Molecule: non-coding RNA, 131 nt
Organism: Stegodyphus mimosarum
Lineage: Eukaryota; Metazoa; Arthropoda; Arachnida; Araneae; Eresidae
Source: Rfam
CCUCCUUAUUUUGGCACUCUGUCACCUCUGUAGUGAUGAUGUGAAUGCUUAUGGGAGGGACAUUAAUCAGGGACUAUGCCUUCGGUGCCAAAACUAGUGUUUUGGUUCCAUCCUCGAUGUCCUGUACAUAU